UUUUGAGGACAUGAACUAUGUUGCCAACUUUCUCAAUGCCACUGAAGAGCUGGAGUGGGCCUGUGACCACAUCACAGACUGCCAGUUGUCUCAAAUAAGGUUCAGCAUGACUUUCCAAGUAAGGGAAACCCUUCAACCUCAUUAUGAGAUCAUAUAUAUUCCCAUUAAAUGUAUCAGCUACAGUGAAAUAAGGUUCAACAUGACAUUCCAAGUAAGGGAAACCCUUCAACCUCAUUAUGAGAUCAUAUAUAUUCCCAUUAAAAGUAUCAGCUACAGUUUUGGAUAUAAGAAG
RNAcentral lists this long non-coding RNA (292 nucleotides) under Nicotiana benthamiana. RNAcentral's name for it is "long non-coding RNA (NBEN_LNC028914)". Lineage: Eukaryota; Viridiplantae; Streptophyta; Magnoliopsida; Solanales; Solanaceae. The record is from RNAcentral.